RNAcentral lists this ribosomal RNA (497 nucleotides) under uncultured bacterium. RNAcentral's name for it is "partial 16S ribosomal RNA". It matches the Rfam family "Bacterial small subunit ribosomal RNA", at positions 28 to 507 of the family's 1533-position model. The record is from RNAcentral.
GAUGAACGCUGGCGGCGUGCCUAAUACAUGCAAGUCGAGCGAACAGACGAGGAGCUUGCUCCUCUGACGUUAGCGGCGGACGGGUGAGUAACACGUGGAUAACCUACCUAUAAGACUGGGAUAACUUCGGGAAACCGGAGCUAAUACCGGAUAAUAUAUUGAACCGCAUGGUUCAAUAGUGAAAGACGGUUUUGCUGUCACUUAUAGAUGGAUCCGCGCCGCAUUAGCUAGUUGGUAAGGUAACGGCUUACCAAGGCGACGAUGCGUAUCCGACCUGAGAGGGUGAUCGGCCACACUGGAACUGAGACACGGUCCAGACUCCUACGGGAGGCAGCAGUAGGGAAUAUUCCGCAAUGGGCGAAAGCCUGACGGAGCAACGCCGCGUGAGUGAUGAAGGUCUUCGGAUCGUAAAACUCUGUUAUUAGGGAAGAACAAAUGUGUAAGUAACUAUGCACGUCUUGACGGUACCUAAUCAGAAAGCCACGGCUAACUACGUG